Molecule: ribosomal RNA, 442 nt
Filed under: uncultured bacterium
Lineage: Bacteria
Description: partial 16S ribosomal RNA
Rfam family: Bacterial small subunit ribosomal RNA
Source: RNAcentral
CCUACGGGUGGCAGCAGUGGGGAAUAUUGGGCAAUGGGCGAAAGCCUGACCCAGCAAAGCCGCGUGAAGGAAGAAGGCUUUCGGCUUGUAAACCUCUUUUGACAGGGAAGAGCAGAACACGGUACCUGUCGAAUAAGCCAUGGCUAACUACGUGCCACCAGCCGCGGUAAUACGUAGGUGGCAAGCGUUGUCCGGAGUUACUGGGUGUAAAGGGCGUGUAGGCGGGCAGACAAGUCAGAUGGGAAAUCCGGGGGCUCAACACCCGAACAGCAUUUGAAACUGUUGGACUUGAGUAGCGGAGAGGCAGGCGGAAUGCGUGGUGUAGCGGUGAAAUGCGUAGAUAUUAGGAGGAACACCAGUGGCGAAGGCGGCCUGCUGGACGACGACUGACGGUGAGGCGCGAAAGCGUGGGGAGCGAACAGGAUUAGAUACCCUUGUAGUC